Molecule: long non-coding RNA, 526 nt
Filed under: Equus asinus (donkey)
Lineage: Eukaryota; Metazoa; Chordata; Mammalia; Perissodactyla; Equidae
Description: lncRNA (ENSEASG00005030832.1)
Source: RNAcentral
CCCAGGAAAUCUUGCUUGGACCCCAGAGCGCUCAGGCUGGGCCACCCGAGAGGUUGAAAACCACUAUCUAAUUCUGAGCUCAGGAAAAAAACAGAAACAAACUCGUAAUUCUGGAAUCUGAGAGGCACCUCAAGAAAGAUCCAGGAGAGACACCAGGAAAACCACCAGCUUCCGGGGUUUAAGGAGAGGUGCUGGAGGCAGCCAGACCUGUGUUUGAAUUCAGCCCUGCAGUCUAUUGGCUAGGUCUAAGGCUUAUUCUCUCACAAGGACCCCAUAAAGAAAGAGGGGACGUUUUCAUCAUCCCCAGGUUAAAGAGCCUGCCAGUUUAACCACGAAAAGAAGCACGAUAACUUGAGGAUGUGAAAGGCUGUCAGGUUUCCUUUCCAGCCCAUAGAGGGCCGAGAAGAGGAAGGACUGAGAUACAGAGAGGCUUUGCGUUUCUAAUCAGAAAAACCCGAGAUGAGGAAUGUAGGGUACGUUACGUUCACACUCGGCUCAGCAGCAUGUCACCUUGGGCAAAAGAGAA